This 231-nucleotide ribosomal RNA is filed under the name uncultured soil bacterium. Its description in RNAcentral is "partial 16S ribosomal RNA". It matches the Rfam family "Bacterial small subunit ribosomal RNA", at positions 26 to 272 of the family's 1533-position model. The record is from RNAcentral.
AGGACGAACGCUGGCGGCGUGCCUAAUGCAUGCAAGUCGCACGCGCGGCGCGUAAGCGCCGUGAGUGGCGCACGGCUGAGGAUCACGUGGGAACAUGCCUCCUUGUGGGGACAACAGCGCGAAAGCGCUGCUAAUCCCGCAUACGCUCGCGUGAGCGAGGAAAGCCGCAAGGCGCAGGGAGAGUGGCCCCGCGGCCCAUCGAGGUGGUUGGUGGGGUAAUGGCCUACCGAA